RNAcentral lists this ribosomal RNA (468 nucleotides) under uncultured bacterium. RNAcentral describes it as "partial 16S ribosomal RNA". It matches the Rfam family "Bacterial small subunit ribosomal RNA", at positions 28 to 507 of the family's 1533-position model. The record is from RNAcentral.
GACGAACGCUGGCGGCGUGCUUAACACAUGCAAGUCGAACGGAAAGGCCCUGCUUUUGUGGGGUGCUCGAGUGGCGAACGGGUGAGUAACACGUGAGUAACCUGCCCUUGACUUUGGGAUAACUUCAGGAAACUGGGGCUAAUACCGGAUAGGAGCUCCUGCUGCAUGGUGGGGGUUGGAAAGUUUCGGCGGUUGGGGAUGGACUCGCGGCUUAUCAGCUUGUUGGUGGGGUAGUGGCUUACCAAGGCUUUGACGGGUAGCCGGCCUGAGAGGGUGACCAGCCACAUUGGGACUGAGAUACGGCCCAGACUCCUACGGGAGGCAGCAGUGGGGAAUAUUGGACAAUGGGCGGAAGCCUGAUGCAGCAACGCCGCGUGCGGGAUGACGGCCUUCGGGUUGUAAACCGCUUUCGCCUGUGACGAAGCGUGAGUGACGGUAAUGGGUAAAGAAGCACCGGCUAACUACGUG